AGGCACUACGGUGCUGAAGUAACAAAUGCCCUGCUUCCAGGAAAAGCCUCUAAGCAUCAGGUAACAUCAAAUCGUACCCCAAACCGACACAGGUGGUCAGGUAGAGAAUACCAAGGCGCUUGAGAGAACUCGGGUGAAGGAACUAGGCAAAAUGGUGCCGUAACUUCGGGAGAAGGCACGCUGGUGUGUAGGUGAAGUCCCUGCGGAUGGAGCUGAGACCAGUCGAAGAUACCAGCUGGCUGCAACUGUUUAUUAAAAACACAGCACUGUGCAAACACGAAAGUGGACGUAUACGGUGUGACGCCUGCCCGGUGCCGGAAGGUUAAUUGAUGGGGUUAUCCGUAAGGAGAAGCUCUUGAUCGAAGCCCCGGUAAACGGCGGCCGUAACUAUAACGGUCCUAAGGUAGCGAAAUUCCUUGUCGGGUAAGUUCCGACCUGCACGAAUGGCGUAAUGAUGGCCAGGCUGUCUCCACCCGAGACUCAGUGAAAUUGAACUCGCUGUGAAGAUGCAGUGUACCCGCGGCAAGACGGAAAGACCCCGUGAACCUUUACUAUAGCUUGACACUGAACAUUGAGCCUUGAUGUGUAGGAUAGGUGGGAGGCUUUGAAGCGUGGACGCCAGUCUGCGUGGAGCCAACCUUGAAAUACCACCCUUUAAUGUUUGAUGUUCUAACGUUGGCCCCUGACCGGGGUUGCGGACAGUGUCUGGUGGGUAGUUUGACUGGGGCGGUCUCCUCCCAAAGCGUAACGGAGGAGCACGAAGGUUAGCUAAUCCUGGUCGGACAUCAGGAGGUUAGUGCAAUGGCAUAAGCUAGCUUGACUGCGAGCGUGACGGCGCGAGCAGGUGCGAAAGCAGGUCAUAGUGAUCCGGUGGUUCUGAAUGGAAGGGCCAUCGCUCAACGGAUAAAAGGUACUCCGGGGAUAACAGGCUGAUACCGCCCAAGAGUUCAUAUCGACGGCGGUGUUUGGCACCUCGAUGUCGGCUCAUCACAUCCUGGGGCUGAAGUAGGUCCCAAGGGUAUGGCUGUUCGCCAUUUAAAGUGGUACGCGAGCUGGGUUUAGAACGUCGUGAGACAGUUCGGUCCCUAUCUGCCGUGGGCGCUGGAGAAUUGAGGGGGGCUGCUCCUAGUACGAGAGGACCGGAGUGGACGCAUCACUGGUGUUCGGGUUGUCAUGCCAAUGGCACUGCCCGGUAGCUAAAUGCGGAAGAGAUAAGUGCUGAAAGCAUCUAAGCACGAAACUUGCCCCGAGAUGAGUUCUCCCUGAGACUUUAAGUCUCCUGAAGGAACGUUGAAGACGACGACGUUGAUAGGCCGGGUGUGUAAGCGCAGCGAUGCGUUGAGCUAACCGGUACUAAUGAACCGUGAGGCUUAACCUU
This 1378-nucleotide ribosomal RNA is filed under the name Klebsiella pneumoniae. Its description in RNAcentral is "partial 23S ribosomal RNA". It matches the Rfam family "Bacterial large subunit ribosomal RNA", at positions 1572 to 2925 of the family's 2925-position model. Lineage: Bacteria; Pseudomonadati; Pseudomonadota; Gammaproteobacteria; Enterobacterales; Enterobacteriaceae. The record is from RNAcentral.